AUUGAACGCUGGCGGAAUGCUUUACACAUGCAAGUCGAGCGGCAGCACGGGGGCAACCCUGGUGGCGAGCGGCGAACGGGUGAGUAACACAUCGGAACAUGCCCAGUCGUGGGGGAUAACACUUCGAAAGAAGUGCUAAUACCGCAUACGUCCUGAGGGAGAAAGCGGGGGAUCGCAAGACCUCGCGCGAUUGGAGUGGCCGAUGUCAGAUUAGCUAGUUGGUGGGGUAAAGGCCUACCAAGGCAACGAUCUGUAGCUGGUCUGAGAGGAUGAUCAGCCACACUGGGACGGAGACACGGCCCAGACUCCUUCGGGAGGCAGCAGUGGGGAAUUUUGGACAAUGGGGGCAACCCUGAUCCAGCCAUUCCGCGUGAGUGAAGAAGGCCUUCGGGUUGUAAAGCUCUUUCGGCAGGAACGAAACGGUGAGCUCUAACAUAGCUUGCUAAUGACGGUACCUGAAAAAGAAGCACCGGCUAACUACGUG
This 484-nucleotide ribosomal RNA is filed under the name uncultured bacterium. RNAcentral describes it as "partial 16S ribosomal RNA". It matches the Rfam family "Bacterial small subunit ribosomal RNA", at positions 30 to 507 of the family's 1533-position model. The record is from RNAcentral.